RNAcentral lists this ribosomal RNA (253 nucleotides) under uncultured bacterium. RNAcentral's name for it is "partial 16S ribosomal RNA". It matches the Rfam family "Bacterial small subunit ribosomal RNA", at positions 524 to 776 of the family's 1533-position model. The record is from RNAcentral.
UACGAAGGGGGCUAGCGUUGCUCGGAAUUACCGGGCGUAAAGGGCGCGUAGGCGGAUGUCUAAGUUGGGGGUGAAAUCCUGGAGCUCAACUCCAGAACUGCCUUUGAUACUGAGGAUCUUGAGUUCGGGAGAGGUGAGUGGAACUGCGAGUGUAGAGGUGAAAUUCGUAGAUAUUCGCAAGAACACCAGUGGCGAAGGCGGCUCACUGGCCCGAUACUGACGCUGAGGCACGAAAGCCAGGGGAGCAAACGGG